GACGAACGCUGGCGGCGUGCUUAACACAUGCAAGUCGAACGGAAAGGCCUCUUUCGGGGGGUACUCGAGUGGCGAACGGGUGAGUAACACGUGAGUAACCUGCCCUUGACUUUGGGAUAACUUCAGGAAACUGGGGCUAAUACCGGAUAGGAGCUCCUGCUGCAUGGUGGGGGUUGGAAAGUUUCGGCGGUUGGGGAUGGACUCGCGGCUUAUCAGCUUGUUGGUGGGGUAGUGGCUUACCAAGGCUUUGACGGGUAGCCGGCCUGAGAGGGUGACCGGCCACAUUGGGACUGAGAUACGGCCCAGACUCCUACGGGAGGCAGCAGUGGGGAAUAUUGCACAAUGGGUGGAAGCCUGAUGCAGCAACGCCGUGUGCGGGAUGACGGCCUUCGGGUUGUAAACCGCUUUCGCUCAUGACGAAGCUUUGUGUGACGGUAGUGGGUAAAGAAACACCGGCUAACUACGUG
RNAcentral lists this ribosomal RNA (467 nucleotides) under uncultured bacterium. RNAcentral's name for it is "partial 16S ribosomal RNA". It matches the Rfam family "Bacterial small subunit ribosomal RNA", at positions 28 to 507 of the family's 1533-position model. The record is from RNAcentral.